CCCUUAGAUGUUCUGGGCCGCACGCGCGCUACACUGAUGGAUUCAACGAGUGUUGUUCUUCGGAGCAGAUCCUUGGUCGGAAGGCCUGGGCAAUCUUGUAAAUGUCCAUCGUGAUGGGGCUAGAUUUUUGCAAUUCUGAAUCUCCAACGAGGAAUUCCUAGUAAACGCAAGUCAUCAGCUUGCAUUGAUUACGUCCCUGCCCUUUGUACACACCGCCCGUCGCUACUACCGAUUGGAUGGCUUAGUGAGACCCUCGGACCGAUAGGCUGUCGCCGCGGCAACGUGGCGACCGGCCCGUCGGGAAGAAGGUCAAACUUGACUGUCUAGAGGAAGUAAAAGUCGUAACA
This 347-nucleotide ribosomal RNA is filed under the name uncultured eukaryote. RNAcentral describes it as "partial 18S ribosomal RNA". It matches the Rfam family "Eukaryotic small subunit ribosomal RNA", at positions 1470 to 1796 of the family's 1831-position model. The record is from RNAcentral.